This is a long non-coding RNA of Thalassophryne amazonica, 927 nucleotides long. RefSeq lists it as uncharacterized. The transcript is spliced from 2 exons. The record is from RefSeq and is a predicted model, not a curated record. Lineage: Eukaryota; Metazoa; Chordata; Actinopteri; Batrachoidiformes; Batrachoididae.
AAGGAAUCACUGGAGGUCGUCAGUGUAGAAUUAAAGAUUCACUGUCAUAAGUGUCACUCUGGAGACUUUUUUUUUGUUGUUAAAAGGUCUGACUCCAUUUCUAUUUGAAGUGGGGAUGGAUUUCCUGUAUUCAGAUCAGAGGGUAAAGGUAACUGGAACUUCUACAAAAAGCACUUAGUGAGGAUGUGCAGAGAGUUGAUGUGUGCUUUAUGUGUGGAUAUGUGUGUGUGUCUGUGUGUGUGUGUGUGUGUGCAUGCGUGCACCUUAUUAGAUGCCAAUCCAGUCCAGUAGAUUCUAUCAACUAGCCUCUAAACAGGAGACAAGAACUGAUCUGUAUCACCUAAGGAAGAUCAACAUGGCCUUGGAAAGCCUCAACAAAACAAAUUUUCAGCAAAAGGCAAAGAUUCCGUUACUGUCUUGCUGUACACCAAAAGGGUUCCCUGGAAAGCAGACAAACGUGAAAAGAACAUGUGUCACUGCAGAGCAUCAACUGGGAAAGUGUCUUGAAGAAAAGAGAAUAUGUUAGUGAUUAAAAAAAAUAAAUAAAUAAAUACAACCUUUUUUGUACAGAGAUAUAUUUUUAUGGAAUACAUUUGUAAUAUAAGAAUAAUGGAUUGGCAUAUGUAAUUUUUUUUUUCUUUUCAUCAUUAUAGUACAAAUGCUAGUGGGGAGUAUAUGAAAAGUCUAUAUAUAUAUAUAUAUACACUAAGGAAAAUAGAAACAGGCUUUUUUGUAUGUGUAUAAAAUAUUGUAUAUAAAAAAGUUUGCAUACCUCCAUACUGUACAUAUGUAAGACCCACCAUGGCUUGUCUGCAUUAUAUAAAGUGUAUUUUAUCCAUCUGUAUAUGAUGCUUUGCCUUGUGUCUGAGCUUACUUUCUUGAACUUGAAACUUAUUUUGAAGCUUUUGGAAUAAAAUAUAAAACCUA